Molecule: unclassified non-coding RNA, 161 nt
Filed under: soil metagenome
Description: partial internal transcribed spacer 1
Source: RNAcentral
AAGAGACGUUGCCCUUCGGGGUAUACCUCCCACCCUUUGUUUAUUAUACCUUUGUUGCUUUGGCGGGCCCGUCCUCGGACCACCGGCUUCUGCUGGUCAGUGCCCGCCAGAGGACCUAAAACUCUGAUUGUUAAUAUUGUCUGAGUACUAUAUAAUAGUUA